This 443-nucleotide ribosomal RNA is filed under the name uncultured bacterium. RNAcentral's name for it is "SSU rRNA". It matches the Rfam family "Bacterial small subunit ribosomal RNA", at positions 26 to 518 of the family's 1533-position model. The record is from RNAcentral.
AGAACGAACGCUGGCGGCAGGCUUAACACAUGCAAGUCGAGCGCACCGCAAGGUGAGCGGCAGACGGGUGAGUAACGCGUGGGAAUCUACCCAACCCUACGGAAUAACACAGGGAAGCUUGUGCUAAUACCGUAUACGCCCUACGGGGGAAAGAUUUAUCGGGGUUGGAUGAGCCCGCGUUGGAUUAGCUAGUUGGUGGGGUAAUGGCCUACCAAGGCGACGAUCCAUAGCUGGUCUGAGAGGAUGAUCAGCCACACUGGGACUGAGACACGGCCCAGACUCCUACGGGAGGCAGCAGUGGGGAAUAUGGACAAUGGCGAAAGCCUGAUCCAGCCAUGCCGCGUGAGUGAUGAAGGCCUUAGGGUUGUAAAGCUCUUUUACCCGGGAAGAUAAUGACUGUACCGGGAGAAGUAAGCUCCGGCUAACUUCGCGCCAGCAGCCGC